This 389-nucleotide ribosomal RNA is filed under the name uncultured bacterium. RNAcentral's name for it is "bacterial SSU rRNA". It matches the Rfam family "Bacterial small subunit ribosomal RNA", at positions 1004 to 1393 of the family's 1533-position model. The record is from RNAcentral.
AGAUGGAUUGGUGCCUUCGGGAACUCUGAGACAGGUGCUGCAUGGCUGUCGUCAGCUCGUGUUGUGAAAUGUUGGGUUAAGUCCCGCAACGAGCGCAACCCUUAUCCUUUGUUGCCAGCGGUUCGGCCGGGAACUCAAAGGAGACUGCCAGUGAUAAACUGGAGGAAGGUGGGGAUGACGUCAAGUCAUCAUGGCCCUUACGAGUAGGGCUACACACGUGCUACAAUGGCAUAUACAAAGAGAAGCGACCUCGCGAGAGCAAGCGGACCUCAUAAAGUAUGUCGUAGUCCGGAUUGGAGUCUGCAACUCGACUCCAUGAAGUCGGAAUCGCUAGUAAUCGUAGAUCAGAAUGCUACGGUGAAUACGUUCCCGGGCCUUGUACACACCGA